RNAcentral lists this ribosomal RNA (407 nucleotides) under uncultured bacterium. RNAcentral's name for it is "partial 16S ribosomal RNA". It matches the Rfam family "Bacterial small subunit ribosomal RNA", at positions 30 to 526 of the family's 1533-position model. The record is from RNAcentral.
AUUGAACGCUGGCGGCAGGCCUAACACAUGCAAGUCGAGCGGAGCGGCGGAAGGGUGAGUAAUGCCUAGGAAUCUACCUGGUAGUGAGGGAGAAAGUCGGGAAACGGGCGAUAAUACAGCAUACUAUCAGAUCAGACUAGGGUGGAUUAGCUAGUUGGUGGGGUAAAGGCUUACCAAGGCGAAGAUCCAUAACUGGUCUGAGAGGAUGAUCAGUAACACUGGAACUGAGACACGGUCCAGAAUCCUACGGGAGGCAGCAGUGGGGAAUAUUGGGCAAUGGGCGAAAGCCUGAUCCAGCCAUGCCGCGUGUGUGAAGAAGGUCUUCGGAUUGUAAAGCACUUUAAGUUGGGAGGCGUUACCAACAGAAUAAGCACCGGCUAACUUCGUGCCAGCCGCCGCGGUAAUAC